RNAcentral lists this ribosomal RNA (330 nucleotides) under uncultured prokaryote. Its description in RNAcentral is "bacterial SSU rRNA". It matches the Rfam family "Bacterial small subunit ribosomal RNA", at positions 8 to 352 of the family's 1533-position model. The record is from RNAcentral.
AGAGUUUGAUCCUGGCUCAGAAUCAACGCUGGCGGCGUGCCUAACACAUGCAAGUCGAACGAGAAAGUGGAGCAAUCCAUGAGUAAAGUGGCGCACGGGUGAGUAACACGUGACUAACCUACCUUUUAGUGGGGGAUAACCUAGGGAAACCUGGGCUAAUACCGCAUAACACUUACGAGUCAAAGCAGCAAUGCGCUGAAAGAGGGGGUCGCGGCCGAUUAGCUAGUUGGCGGGGUAAUGGCCCACCAAGGCGAUGAUCGGUAUCCGGCCUGAGAGGGCGCACGGACACACUGGAACUGAAACACGGUCCAGACUCCUACGGGAGGCGAC